CAGCACCGCGGUAAUACGUAGGGUGCGGGCGUUAAUCGGAAUUACUGGGCGUAAAGCGUGCGCAGGCGGUUCGUUAAGACAGAUGUGAAAUCCCCGGGCUUAACCUGGGAACCGCAUUUGUGACUGGCGAGCUAGAGUGUGGCAGAGGGGGGUAGAAUUCCACGUGUAGCAGUGAAAUGCGUAGAGAUGUGGAGGAAUACCGAUGGCGAAGGCAGCCCCCUGGGAUAACACUGACGCUCAUGCACGAAAGCGUGGGGAGCAAACAGGAUUAGAUACCCCUGUAGUCCCUGUCUCUUAUACC
This 301-nucleotide ribosomal RNA is filed under the name uncultured bacterium. Its description in RNAcentral is "partial 16S ribosomal RNA". It matches the Rfam family "Bacterial small subunit ribosomal RNA", at positions 509 to 808 of the family's 1533-position model. The record is from RNAcentral.